RNAcentral lists this ribosomal RNA (254 nucleotides) under uncultured bacterium. Its description in RNAcentral is "partial 16S ribosomal RNA". It matches the Rfam family "Bacterial small subunit ribosomal RNA", at positions 524 to 776 of the family's 1533-position model. The record is from RNAcentral.
UACGGAGGGUGCGAGCGUUGUCCGGAAUCAUUGGGCGUAAAGGGCGCGUAGGUGGCCCGGUCAGUUCGUGGUGAAAGCGCGGGGCUCAACCCUGCGUCGGCCAUGAAUACUGCCGCGGCUGGAGCACUGUAGAGGCAGGCGGAAUUCCGGGUGUAGCGGUGGAAUGCGUAGAGAUCCGGAAGAACACCAGUGGCGAAGGCGGCCUGCUGGGCAGUUGCUGACACUGAGGCGCGACAGCGUGGGGAGCAAACAGG